CGGAGUGCCCCAGGAUCCUCAUCCCUCCCCUGCCUGUCUCUAGCAGACCCCCAAGAUGACAGCAGAAAUGUCAUCUUGGAGGAGGCCGCCCCUCUGGAGCAGGUCCCCUCUAGAGGCAGAAGAGGUCUCGGUCUCGGCAGCAACUGCAUCACCCUGGAUCUGCCAAGGCCCAACCCCUUCACCAUGGAAACCCGACUCCCCGUUCGAGAUCACCGUGUCUUCAAGCGGUGAGCUCCGGGGAUGCCCCCCUUCAGUCGGUCCAGCGCGCCCCUAUGUGGGAGAGUGACCUCUCACCUUUGCACCCUGUGAGACCUGCUUGCUGUUGUCAGGUGUGAGGGACUCUCCCACUGGGCUCCACAGCAGAGGGGCUGCAGCAAGAGCACAGACCCAGCUAUUAUGGACUGUGAAGCCGACUGAAGAACUUAAAGGAGAGAAGUGUGUGUCUGAGGGGGUCGGGAGAAGGACAGCUCCUACCCCUUUCACUCACCAUCGGAAUGACACACACAAACUCAGACACAAGUUAAGGCGUUGGUGUGUGACGUCCUGAUAAGGGAUGGCAAGAGUGUGAGACAGUGGGGGUAAGGAGACGCCCAGGUAAUGGUCUCUAAUUGAUGAA
Clupea harengus (Atlantic herring) is the source of this 616-nucleotide long non-coding RNA. RefSeq lists it as uncharacterized. The record is from RefSeq and is a predicted model, not a curated record. The transcript is spliced from 3 exons. Lineage: Eukaryota; Metazoa; Chordata; Actinopteri; Clupeiformes; Clupeidae.